CAUCGAGGAUAGAUGAAAGGUGGCCUCUACAUGUAAAGCUAUCACUGAAGGAGGGGAUUGCGUCUGAUUAGCUAGUUGGAGGGGUAACGGCCCACCAAGGCGAUGAUCAGUAGCCGGUCUGAGAGGAUGAACGGCCACAUUGGGACUGAGACACGGCCUUGACUCCUACGGGAGGCAGCAGUGGGGAAUCUUCCGCAAUGGACGAAAGUCUGACGGAGCAACGCCGCGUGAGUGAUGACGGCCUUCGGGUUGUAAAGCUCUGUUAAUCGGGACGAAAGGCCUUCUUGCGAAUAGUGAGAAGGAUUGACG
Molecule: ribosomal RNA, 309 nt
Filed under: Veillonella sp. oral taxon D93
Lineage: Bacteria; Bacillati; Bacillota; Negativicutes; Veillonellales; Veillonellaceae
Description: bacterial SSU rRNA
Rfam family: Bacterial small subunit ribosomal RNA
Source: RNAcentral